RNAcentral lists this transfer RNA (74 nucleotides) under Actomonas aquatica. RNAcentral's name for it is "Opitutus sp. WL0086 tRNA-Gly". It matches the Rfam family "tRNA". From Rfam's summary of the family: Transfer RNA (tRNA) molecules are approximately 80 nucleotides in length. Their secondary structure includes four short double-helical elements and three loops (D, anti-codon, and T loops). Further hydrogen bonds mediate the characteristic L-shaped molecular structure. tRNAs have two regions of fundamental functional importance: the anti-codon, which is responsible for specific mRNA codon recognition, and the 3' end, to which the tRNAs corresponding amino acid is attached (by aminoacyl-tRNA synthetases). tRNAs cope with the degeneracy of the genetic code in two manners: having more than one tRNA (with a specific anti-codon) for a particular amino acid; and 'wobble' base-pairing, i.e. permitting non-standard base-pairing at the 3rd anti-codon position. Lineage: Bacteria; Pseudomonadati; Verrucomicrobiota; Opitutia; Opitutales; Opitutaceae. The record is from RNAcentral.
GCGCCGGUAGUUCAUCGGUAGAAUGUGAGCUUCCCAAGCUUGAGAGGAGGGUUCGAUUCCCUCUCGGCGCACCA